AUCCGUUUUGGUUCAUAAACCCAAGUUUGGGUGUUCAUGCCAUCAUGUGUGAUGUGCCUCCCUCUAAAUCUUGUUAUGUCGUCACACUGCCCAUCUGACC
Non-coding RNA from Ictidomys tridecemlineatus (thirteen-lined ground squirrel), 100 nucleotides. Lineage: Eukaryota; Metazoa; Chordata; Mammalia; Rodentia; Sciuridae. The record is from Rfam.